Molecule: ribosomal RNA, 253 nt
Filed under: uncultured bacterium
Lineage: Bacteria
Description: partial 16S ribosomal RNA
Rfam family: Bacterial small subunit ribosomal RNA
Source: RNAcentral
GAUGAACGCUAGCGGCAGGCCUAAUACAUGCAAGUCGGACGGGAUUGGAGAGCUUGCUUUCCAUGAGAGUGGCGCACGGGUGCGUAACACGUAUGUAACCUACCUUGUUCAGGGGGAUAGCCUCUCGAAAGAGAGAUUAAGACCGCAUAACAUCAUUGACUGGCAUCUGUUAAAUGAUCAAAUAUUUAUAGGAACAAGAUGGGCAUGCGGAACAUUAGCUAGUUGGUAAGGUAAAGGCUUACCAAGGCUACGA